Molecule: transfer RNA, 76 nt
Filed under: Arthrobacter sp. Hiyo8
Lineage: Bacteria; Bacillati; Actinomycetota; Actinomycetes; Micrococcales; Micrococcaceae
Description: tRNA-Thr
Source: RNAcentral
UCGAGCUUCCUAUCAGAAUCGAACUGAUGACCUUUUCAUUACGAGUGAAACGCUCUACCGACUGAGCUAAGGAAGC